RNAcentral lists this transfer RNA (74 nucleotides) under Dehalococcoidales bacterium. Its description in RNAcentral is "tRNA-Gln". It matches the Rfam family "tRNA". From Rfam's summary of the family: Transfer RNA (tRNA) molecules are approximately 80 nucleotides in length. Their secondary structure includes four short double-helical elements and three loops (D, anti-codon, and T loops). RNAcentral also lists the same sequence under 2 other names. The record is from RNAcentral. Lineage: Bacteria; Bacillati; Chloroflexota; Dehalococcoidia; Dehalococcoidales.
UGCCGAGUUGUGUAGCGGUAGCACGGAGGACUUUGAAUCCUUUAGCCCUGGUUCGAAUCCAGGCUCGGCAGCCA